Molecule: small nuclear RNA, 142 nt
Organism: Xenopus tropicalis (tropical clawed frog)
Lineage: Eukaryota; Metazoa; Chordata; Amphibia; Anura; Pipidae
Gene: U4
Rfam family: U4 spliceosomal RNA
About the family: U4 small nuclear RNA (U4 snRNA) is a component of the major U2-dependent spliceosome. The structure of U4 snRNA from yeast and human has been reported. U4 snRNA presents a k-turn RNA motif in the 5p-SL related to recognition of Snu13 protein.
Source: Ensembl
AGCUUUGCGCAGUGGCAGUAUCAUAGCCAAUGAGGUCAAACCGAGGCGUGAUUAUUGCUAAUUGAAAACUUUUCCCAAUACCCCCGCCGUGAUGACUUGAAAUAUAGUCAGCACUGGCAAUUUUUGACAGUCUCUCAGGAGA